GCGUUUUAUAUUUGAAUUGUUAAUUUAGCAAGAAUAUUGUUAUCAAGCGGUAACCGACAUAAGAGUAUUAAAUAUAUCAAUACAUACAUAUAUCUAUUUCCAUGCCGAUUAUAUAAAAUGGUACGAAGUAUCCGAAAUAGCUGCUGCCCACCAACAAUAAUAUAGUUUCCUAAACUUAAGCUUAUACCGCAUCAAGAACCUGGUUUACGACUUCACAUACUCAUCCGGCCAAAACACUACAAUUCAAGAAAUCAACUCAAUAAAUUGUUGCUCGCUCAAGGACUUCAAAGUUUUCUAUUUAAUACCCAUGAUAUAUCCAUUGGUUUUGCACAUUUCUUAAUAAAAUUCAGUUUAUAACUCAUUCAAAAUGGAAACAAGUUAAUAAUUCCUUCAUAGGAUAACAAGGGCUUGAACAUAUAGCUAACUA
Molecule: long non-coding RNA, 427 nt
Filed under: Jatropha curcas
Lineage: Eukaryota; Viridiplantae; Streptophyta; Magnoliopsida; Malpighiales; Euphorbiaceae
Description: long non-coding RNA (JCUR_LNC002199)
Source: RNAcentral